CGUAAACUUUUUCUUGAACUAUCUCAUUCCGCUCCAGUGUAAAGAAAUUGUGUGAACGUGCUAAGGUGGGUCCUACCGCACUAAAAUAUCUGAUCUCUUCCCCAGACCGUCCGUUCCUUCCCGCGGAUUCCGCCCGGCCUGCUGUUCCUUCCCGCGGAGACUGCGAGGACUAUUCUUCCCCUUUCCGAUCUAUCCACCAAAUCUUCUCCCUCGCCAUCUUCGGCUGCCCAUGAAAUUGGGCAACGGCUACUCCUUGCAAGCAGAAGAAGAGAGGUGAUUGGGGGUGAGGAGAAGAAGAUGAGAGUGACUGCGAUGCUCUUCUAGCAGAUCCGGAGUUCCGAACGACACGAGAUCGAUGGGAGGUUUCAUGGCAGGUUGUUGCCGUGGACGCCGCCGGGCUCGUCAGCGGCAGCAUGGUGGGUCACGCACAGCUGCAAGGGAUCCGGUUGUGUGCCUCGGUUCCCGCGUCUCUGGAUCUUAGAUGCAUCUCCAUCGAAUAGACAUUGGGGAGGCUGGACUUGAGCUGUCAGCACCAAGAACAAAAGGCAUUGACUCAACUGGUGAUGAAGACCGAACUCCUUCAACUGCAGCUCCUCUUCCAAACACUCCAUUGGGAGAAAGGUUGAAGUUGCCUUCAUAUGGAUUACCUAGAUUGUAAGGGUUGAAAUUUGGAGGGAAGCCAUAAGGGUUGAAAUUUGGAGGGAAUUGAGACUGGAAUUGUUGGUUGAGUUGGGGUGCAAAGUUUGUGGCAAACAGUGAUUGUGGGUUCCUUGGGGUGGACUGACUGCUUGUGUUUGGCUCCACGGGAGGUGAGGAGUUUCAAGGAUUGAAGCCAGAUGUAUGAUCCAUGGUGUUUUUUUUUCAUGUAAUUUCUUCUAUUUGAAGUGGUUGGGUCAAAUGAGCUACGGCCGACUGCUAUUUGUAGAAGCAGCAGUACCCUUGUGCAACGGCUACCUCCUCCCAACGCUCCCAACGGUCAUGUAAUAAAUAUAUUAUUCACUGUUGAGUCACUAUUGAAGAA
Molecule: long non-coding RNA, 1021 nt
Organism: Panicum virgatum (switchgrass)
Lineage: Eukaryota; Viridiplantae; Streptophyta; Magnoliopsida; Poales; Poaceae
Exons: 2
Source: RefSeq, a predicted model, not a curated record